GCGCCGUUAGCUCAGUCUGGUAGAGCAGCUCCCUUUUAAGGAGAUGGUCGGGGGUUCAAUUCCCUCACGGCGCACCA
RNAcentral lists this transfer RNA (77 nucleotides) under bacterium. RNAcentral's name for it is "tRNA-Lys". It matches the Rfam family "tRNA". From Rfam's summary of the family: Transfer RNA (tRNA) molecules are approximately 80 nucleotides in length. Their secondary structure includes four short double-helical elements and three loops (D, anti-codon, and T loops). Further hydrogen bonds mediate the characteristic L-shaped molecular structure. tRNAs have two regions of fundamental functional importance: the anti-codon, which is responsible for specific mRNA codon recognition, and the 3' end, to which the tRNAs corresponding amino acid is attached (by aminoacyl-tRNA synthetases). tRNAs cope with the degeneracy of the genetic code in two manners: having more than one tRNA (with a specific anti-codon) for a particular amino acid; and 'wobble' base-pairing, i.e. permitting non-standard base-pairing at the 3rd anti-codon position. RNAcentral also lists the same sequence under 1 other name. The record is from RNAcentral.